Molecule: ribosomal RNA, 253 nt
Filed under: uncultured bacterium
Lineage: Bacteria
Description: partial 16S ribosomal RNA
Rfam family: Bacterial small subunit ribosomal RNA
Source: RNAcentral
UACGGGGGGGGCAAGCGUUGUUCGGAAUUACUGGGCGUAAAGGGCUUGUAGGUGGCCAACUAAGUCAGACGUGAAAUCCCUCGGCUUAACCGGGGAACUGCGUCUGAUACUGGAUGGCUUGAGUUUGGGAGAGGGACGCGGAAUUCCAGGUGUAGCGGUGAAAUGCGUAGAUAUCUGGAGGAACAUCGGUGGCGAAGGCGGCAUCCUGGACCGGUAUUGACGCUGAGGCGCGAAAGCGUGGGGAGCAAACAGG